Molecule: ribosomal RNA, 474 nt
Filed under: uncultured bacterium
Lineage: Bacteria
Description: partial 16S ribosomal RNA
Rfam family: Bacterial small subunit ribosomal RNA
Source: RNAcentral
GAUGAACGCUAGCGGCAGGCCUAACACAUGCAAGUCGAGGGAGGAGCUUUCGGGCUUCGACCGGCGUACGGGUGCGUAACGCGUAUACAAUCUGCCUUUCACAUAGGGAUAGCCCAAAGAAAUUUGGAUUAAUACCUAAUGGUAUAUAGGAGUGGCAUCACCUUUAUAUUAAAGCUGAGGCGGUGAAAGAUGAGUAUGCGUUCUAUUAGCUAGUUGGAGAGGUAACGGCUCUCCAAGGCGACGAUAGAUAGGGGUUCUGAGAGGGAUAUCCCCCACACUGGUACUGAGAUACGGACCAGACUCCUACGGGAGGCAGCAGUGAGGAAUAUUGGACAAUGGUCGGAAGACUGAUCCAGCCAUGCCGCGUGCAGGAAGACGGCCUUAUGGGUUGUAAACUGCUUUUGCAGGGGAAGAAUAAGGAGUACGUGUACUUUGAUGACGGUACUCUGCGAAUAAGCAUCGGCUAACUCCGUG